Molecule: ribosomal RNA, 1556 nt
Filed under: Enterobacter chengduensis
Lineage: Bacteria; Pseudomonadati; Pseudomonadota; Gammaproteobacteria; Enterobacterales; Enterobacteriaceae
Description: bacterial SSU rRNA
Rfam family: Bacterial small subunit ribosomal RNA
Source: RNAcentral
ACUUAAAUUGAAGAGUUUGAUCAUGGCUCAGAUUGAACGCUGGCGGCAGGCCUAACACAUGCAAGUCGAGCGGUAGCACAGAGGAGCUUGCUCCUCGGGUGACGAGCGGCGGACGGGUGAGUAAUGUCUGGGAAACUGCCUGAUGGAGGGGGAUAACUACUGGAAACGGUAGCUAAUACCGCAUAACGUCGCAAGACCAAAGAGGGGGACCUUCGGGCCUCUUGCCAUCAGAUGUGCCCAGAUGGGAUUAGCUAGUAGGUGGGGUAACGGCUCACCUAGGCGACGAUCCCUAGCUGGUCUGAGAGGAUGACCAGCCACACUGGAACUGAGACACGGUCCAGACUCCUACGGGAGGCAGCAGUGGGGAAUAUUGCACAAUGGGCGCAAGCCUGAUGCAGCCAUGCCGCGUGUAUGAAGAAGGCCUUCGGGUUGUAAAGUACUUUCAGCGGGGAGGAAGGUGUUGAGGCUAAUAACCUCAGCAAUUGACGUUACCCGCAGAAGAAGCACCGGCUAACUCCGUGCCAGCAGCCGCGGUAAUACGGAGGGUGCAAGCGUUAAUCGGAAUUACUGGGCGUAAAGCGCACGCAGGCGGUCUGUCAAGUCGGAUGUGAAAUCCCCGGGCUCAACCUGGGAACUGCAUUCGAAACUGGCAGGCUAGAGUCUUGUAGAGGGGGGUAGAAUUCCAGGUGUAGCGGUGAAAUGCGUAGAGAUCUGGAGGAAUACCGGUGGCGAAGGCGGCCCCCUGGACAAAGACUGACGCUCAGGUGCGAAAGCGUGGGGAGCAAACAGGAUUAGAUACCCUGGUAGUCCACGCCGUAAACGAUGUCGACUUGGAGGUUGUGCCCUUGAGGCGUGGCUUCCGGAGCUAACGCGUUAAGUCGACCGCCUGGGGAGUACGGCCGCAAGGUUAAAACUCAAAUGAAUUGACGGGGGCCCGCACAAGCGGUGGAGCAUGUGGUUUAAUUCGAUGCAACGCGAAGAACCUUACCUACUCUUGACAUCCAGAGAACUUUCCAGAGAUGGAUUGGUGCCUUCGGGAACUCUGAGACAGGUGCUGCAUGGCUGUCGUCAGCUCGUGUUGUGAAAUGUUGGGUUAAGUCCCGCAACGAGCGCAACCCUUAUCCUUUGUUGCCAGCGGUUAGGCCGGGAACUCAAAGGAGACUGCCAGUGAUAAACUGGAGGAAGGUGGGGAUGACGUCAAGUCAUCAUGGCCCUUACGAGUAGGGCUACACACGUGCUACAAUGGCGCAUACAAAGAGAAGCGACCUCGCGAGAGCAAGCGGACCUCAUAAAGUGCGUCGUAGUCCGGAUUGGAGUCUGCAACUCGACUCCAUGAAGUCGGAAUCGCUAGUAAUCGUAGAUCAGAAUGCUACGGUGAAUACGUUCCCGGGCCUUGUACACACCGCCCGUCACACCAUGGGAGUGGGUUGCAAAAGAAGUAGGUAGCUUAACCUUCGGGAGGGCGCUUACCACUUUGUGAUUCAUGACUGGGGUGAAGUCGUAACAAGGUAACCGUAGGGGAACCUGCGGUUGGAUCACCUCCUUACCUUAAAGAA